RNAcentral lists this ribosomal RNA (351 nucleotides) under Escherichia coli. Its description in RNAcentral is "partial 23S ribosomal RNA". It matches the Rfam family "Bacterial large subunit ribosomal RNA", at positions 1236 to 1589 of the family's 2925-position model. The record is from RNAcentral. Lineage: Bacteria; Pseudomonadati; Pseudomonadota; Gammaproteobacteria; Enterobacterales; Enterobacteriaceae.
GCGUUCUGUAAGCCUGUGAAGGUGGCCUGUGAGGGUUGCUGGAGGUAUCAGAAGUGCGAAUGCUGACAUAAGUAACGAUAAAGCGGGUGAAAAGCCCGCUCGCCGGAAGACCAAGGGUUCCUGUCCAACGUUAAUCGGGGCAGGGUGAGUCGACCCCUAAGGCGAGGCCGAAAGGCGUAGUCGAUGGGAAACAGGUUAAUAUUCCUGUACUUGGUGUUACUGCGAAGGGGGGACGGAGAAGGCUAUGUUGGCCGGGCGACGGUUGUCCCGGUUUAAGCGUGUAGGCUGGUUUUCCAGGCAAAUCCGGAAAACCAAGGCUGAGGCGUGAUGACGAGGCACUACGGUGCUGAA